GUCUGGAGGGCGGCCUCUCUGGCGGGGAAGCCCAGCGAGGGACUGAGGCUAGGAUGGGGCAGAGGCCAUGAGAAGGCCCACCCCCCACCCCCCGUGCAGGGCCCUGUGCUCAGGGGGUUGACUGGAAUUAUGACAGCAGGGGACCAAAUUAAAUGAUUCCCUUUUCUUGGAUAGUAACAGUGACAGUAUUAAUAUGGCAAUAGUAGCACUUACACAGGAAGAAACGGAGACACAGAGACAUUAAGCAACUUGCCCAAGGCCACACAGCCACUUUUUUAUACCCUCUGACCCUGCUCACUGCGGUCCAGAAUGCACUGCUCCAUCUACUACAGAUCACUGCUGGGUCCACCCACCCUUUUGACUUGGAGUGGAAAAGAAACCAUCACCAAGUCAACGGCUGUAUACCAUGGACCUCAGACUGUGCUAAUCUGCUGUAACAGAGACACCACAACUGGCAGCGCAGCUGCAAUUAGAGCAUGAAGAGGGGAAGUGAGGCAGAAGACGAGACCAGAAGUGCAGAUUGGUGCCAGAUUGCAAAGGGCCCUGAAGGGCUCACAAUGGGAUUGGACCAUGGCCUGAAUACGUGAGGAGUCCCCACAGGUUGUAGUAUGUUCCAUCCACUCACUCCUUUAAAACAGAAAACUGCAAGCUUCCGAAUGAACUGUCUCACUAGCUGGAGUCCGUGCUCCGUGCCGUGACGGGCUGCCCUGUUCCCGCCUUCAGGAUGGAAACGCUCAUCCUCCUGGCUAUUAAAAUGUCACAGCUGUGUCCCAGCCACCCUUAAACUUCCCUUAUUUCCGGACUAGAACGUGCUCUUCCAACCUUCCACUCCUCUGCCUUUGCUGUCCUUUCUCUGGGCUAUCUCCUCCACUUCCCAUGUCUGGAGAAAUUCUAUUCAUUCUGCAAGACUUCCUGGGAUGUUUCCUCUCCCUCGUGAUAGGAUUAACCGCUUCCUUCUGUUUCCAGAGCAUUUUGUUCACAAUGUGAGCUUAGGACUUGAACAGAUUCUGUAUGUCACGUUGUGGCUGUCAGUGUCCUUGGCUCCCCUAUGAACUGUGUACUCUGCACAUCAGUCUGGGCCAUGUGUCCUUUAUCUUCAUGUCACCAGAGGUUUCCAUACAGCCUGACACGUAAGGAAUGUUAGUGAAUUAAAUUUGUUAUUCAGUUGAAUCAGAUUCUGGUGUUAAGAAAGGAAAAUAAACUCCAGGCUGAGAUGCACACAUUUUUUCUUUCAUAAAACAUGCAUUUGUUGUCACAAAACAGUGGGCUCAAAG
This 1274-nucleotide long non-coding RNA is filed under the name Equus caballus (horse). RNAcentral describes it as "lncRNA (ENSECAG00000054134.1)". The record is from RNAcentral. Lineage: Eukaryota; Metazoa; Chordata; Mammalia; Perissodactyla; Equidae.